AGAAUCAACGCUGGCGGCGUGCCUAACACAUGCAAGUCGCACGAGAAAGGGACUUCGGUCCUGAGUAAAGUGGCGCACGGGUGAGUAACACGUGAAUCAUCUACCUCCGAGUGGGGAAUAACCUAGAGAAAUCUGGGCUAAUACCGCAUAACACUUACGAGUCAAAGCAGCAAUGCGCUUGGAGAGGAGUUCGCGGCAGAUUAGUUAGUUGGCGGGGUAAUGGCCCACCAAGACGAUGAUCUGUAUCCGGCCUGAGAGGGCGCACGGACACACUGGAACUGAAACACGGUCCAGACUCCUACGGAGGCAGCAGUGGGGAAUUUUGCGCAAUGGGGGAAACCCUGACGCAGCAACGCCGCGUGGAGGAUGGAAAUAUCUUGGUAUGUAAACUCCUUUCGAUGGGGAAGAUAAUGACGGUACCCAUAGAAGAAGCCCCGGCUAACUUCGUGCCAGCAGCCGC
Molecule: ribosomal RNA, 460 nt
Filed under: uncultured bacterium
Lineage: Bacteria
Description: SSU rRNA
Rfam family: Bacterial small subunit ribosomal RNA
Source: RNAcentral